This 64-nucleotide transfer RNA is filed under the name Maguimithrax spinosissimus. RNAcentral's name for it is "Damithrax spinosissimus tRNA-Cys". It matches the Rfam family "tRNA". Rfam says of the family: Transfer RNA (tRNA) molecules are approximately 80 nucleotides in length. Their secondary structure includes four short double-helical elements and three loops (D, anti-codon, and T loops). Further hydrogen bonds mediate the characteristic L-shaped molecular structure. tRNAs have two regions of fundamental functional importance: the anti-codon, which is responsible for specific mRNA codon recognition, and the 3' end, to which the tRNAs corresponding amino acid is attached (by aminoacyl-tRNA synthetases). tRNAs cope with the degeneracy of the genetic code in two manners: having more than one tRNA (with a specific anti-codon) for a particular amino acid; and 'wobble' base-pairing, i.e. permitting non-standard base-pairing at the 3rd anti-codon position. Lineage: Eukaryota; Metazoa; Arthropoda; Malacostraca; Decapoda; Mithracidae. The record is from RNAcentral.
AGUUCUAUAGUAAUGUUUAUAUUAGAUUGCAAAUCUAAAGGUGUGGUUAAAAACACUAGAGCUU